AGACGAACCGUCCAAACGUUAUUCGGAAUUACUGGGCUUAAAGGGUGCGUAGGCGGCGCGGUAAGUUGGGUGUGAAAUCCCUCGGCUCAACCGAGGAAUGGCGCCCAAUACUGCCGUGCUCGAGGGAGACAGAGGUGAGCGGAACUGAUGGUGGAGCGGUGAAAUGCGUUGAUAUCAUCAGGAACACCAGUGGCGAAGGCGGCUCACUGGGUCUCUUCUGACGCUGAGGCACGAAAGCUAGGGGAGCAAACGGGAGUAGAAACCCCGGUAGUCC
RNAcentral lists this ribosomal RNA (274 nucleotides) under uncultured bacterium. Its description in RNAcentral is "partial 16S ribosomal RNA". It matches the Rfam family "Bacterial small subunit ribosomal RNA", at positions 523 to 796 of the family's 1533-position model. The record is from RNAcentral.